AGGUGAGCGGCAGCGGUGCCCGACCCUAUGGCAACCGUGGGCAAGGACUUGAGCGUUGGCAAUGAAAAUCUUCUCACCAAACUCAAGACUGCGCUGAAGGCGGACUCAUGCAUCCGACCUGAUGAGUGUGCCGGACGGGUUGGCUCAGCCGUCGACGCCGUUCCGGACGAGCUGGAGGCGGCUGUCGUGGACGCCAAUCAAGCCUUGGCGUGCCAAGCCGACGUCUUGCAGGCUGCACUCACGAUGUAUACCCACACUGGAGUUAUCGCAGACCUUCCGGAUGCUUGAUUUAUCAAAUUGGUGCAAAUGAAACCAGAGGGGUUAAUUAUGCUCAUUACAUUCGAUAAAGAGAGAAAAGCAAACAACAAUUUGGAUGUUUUCCCGGGAUAACAACACAUGGAUGGCGGAUAGGAGUAUGAAGAGUUUUUGUUUA
Long non-coding RNA from Triticum dicoccoides, 433 nucleotides. RefSeq lists it as uncharacterized. The record is from RefSeq and is a predicted model, not a curated record. The transcript has 2 exons. NCBI's taxonomy places the organism in Eukaryota, Viridiplantae, Streptophyta, Magnoliopsida, Poales, Poaceae.